Molecule: ribosomal RNA, 445 nt
Filed under: uncultured bacterium
Lineage: Bacteria
Description: partial 16S ribosomal RNA
Rfam family: Bacterial small subunit ribosomal RNA
Source: RNAcentral
GUGAGGAAUAUUGGACAAUGGGCGCAAGCCUGAUCCAGCCAUGCCGCGUGCAGGAAGACGCAUCUAUGGUGUGUAAACUGCUUUUGUACGGGAAGAAACACUCCCUCGUGAGGGAGCUUGACGGUACCGUAAGAAUAAGGAUCGGCUAACUCCGUGCCAGCAGCCGCGGUAAUACGGAGGAUCCAAGCGUUAUCCGGAAUCAUUGGGUUUAAAGGGUCCGUAGGCGGUUUAAUAAGUCAGUGGUGAAAGCCCAUCGCUCAACGAUGGAACGGCCAUUGAUACUGUUAGACUUGAAUUACAAGGAAGUAACUAGAAUAUGUAGUGUAGCGGUGAAAUGCUUAGAUAUUACAUGGAAUACCAAUUGUGAAGGCAGGUUACUACUUGUGGAUUGACGCUGAUGGACGAAAGCGUGGGGAGCGAACAGGAUUAGAAACCCGGGUAGUCC